This is a long non-coding RNA of Telopea speciosissima, 405 nucleotides long. RefSeq lists it as uncharacterized. The transcript is spliced from 2 exons. NCBI's taxonomy places the organism in Eukaryota, Viridiplantae, Streptophyta, Magnoliopsida, Proteales, Proteaceae. The record is from RefSeq and is a predicted model, not a curated record.
AUGUCCAGGCCUCCAAUGCUUUGGGUCGGAUGCCGUGACAAUUAUGGUAUGUCCAAGCAAUAUUAUUGAAGCUAGGCACUUUUUCUGGUUUUGUUAAACUUACUAAGUUGAUGACUUGAGGAAGUAAAGGGUUGAAGUAGGGAUAAGUGGAUAAAAACAGUGGGGUUAAUUGGUAGACUGUAGAGAGGUUGCUGUAAACCAAAAUCCCUGCAUUUAUUGAUCACUGAGAAAACAUUUUCUUUCCGUCAUUAGAAGGGAAAAUAAAAUGGCUGAAUUUUUAAUCCUGUUUUGUACUUUUAACCCAGAUACUACUGAGAGGUCCUCAGUAAUGUAGAUACCACUAUGCAGUUUGUUUGUCAUGUCCUUGUUCAAAUUUCCUAAUUAUAGACUAUCUGUUAUCUUCCU